AAUGAACGUUGGCGGCGUGGAUCAGGCAUGCAAGUCGAACGAAUCUCACCUGGGCAACUGGGUGGGGAAGUGGCGAAAGGGGCAGUAAGGCAUGGGUAACCUGCCCCGGACUUCGGGAUAGCCUUCCUAAACGGAAGGAUAAUACCGAAUGCCGUAGCGUGGGGGCAUCUCCGUGCUACGAAAGCUCCGGCGGUCCGGGAGGGGCUCAUGUGGUAUUAGCUAGUUGGUGAGGUGACGGCUCACCAAGGCCAAGAUGCCUAGCAGGUGUGAGAGCACGACCUGCGCCACUGGCACUGUGACACUGGCCAGACUCCUACGGGAGCUGCAGUCGAGGAUCUUCGGCAAUGGGCGCAAGCCUGACCGAGCGACGCCGCGUGUGCGAUGAAGGCCUU
RNAcentral lists this ribosomal RNA (392 nucleotides) under uncultured bacterium. RNAcentral's name for it is "bacterial SSU rRNA". It matches the Rfam family "Bacterial small subunit ribosomal RNA", at positions 28 to 418 of the family's 1533-position model. The record is from RNAcentral.